CAUCGAGCGAGGCGCAUCACCGGCCCGUUUCGGACAGUUUUCAGUCGGGGCGGAGCAUGAGCGUACAUGUUGAGACCCGAAAGAUGGUGAACUAUGCUUGCGCAGGUUGAAGCCAGAGGAAACUCUGGUGGAGGACCGCAGCGAUUCUGACGUGCAAAUCGAUCGUCAAACGUGAGUAUAGGGGCGAAAGACUAAUCGAACCAUCUAGUAGCUGGUUCCCUCCGAAGUUUCCCUCAGGAUAGCUGGCGUUCAUGACAGUUUUAUCCGGUAAAGCGAAUGAUUAGAGGCCUUGGGGGCGAAACGUCCUCAACCUAUUCUCAAACUUUAAAUGGGUGAGAAGCCCAACUCGCCUAAACGGAGUUGGGCGUUUGCGAAUGUGAGUGCCAAGUGGGCCAUUUUUGGUAAGCAGAACUGGCGCUGUGGGA
RNAcentral lists this ribosomal RNA (425 nucleotides) under Theromyzon rude. Its description in RNAcentral is "partial 28S ribosomal RNA". It matches the Rfam family "Eukaryotic large subunit ribosomal RNA", at positions 743 to 1163 of the family's 3401-position model. Lineage: Eukaryota; Metazoa; Annelida; Clitellata; Rhynchobdellida; Glossiphoniidae. The record is from RNAcentral.